RNAcentral lists this small nuclear RNA (22 nucleotides) under Arabidopsis thaliana (thale cress). Its description in RNAcentral is "snRNA_09909". Lineage: Eukaryota; Viridiplantae; Streptophyta; Magnoliopsida; Brassicales; Brassicaceae. The record is from RNAcentral.
UAAACAAGGGAAAGUGCCUCAU